GAUGAACGCUGGCGGCGUGUAUAAUACAUGCAAGUCGAGCGAAGGGGGGACGGGUGAGCAAGAAGUGGAUAGCCUCCUAUAAGACUGGGAUAAAUUCGGGAAACCGUAGCUAAACCGGAUACGGAUACCUGGAACCGCGCUUCAUUAGCUAGUUGGUAAGGUAACGGCUUACCAAGGCAACGAUGCAUGGCCGACCUGAGAGGGUGAUCAGCCACACUGGAACUGAGAAACGGUCCAGACUCCUACGGGAGGCAUGAGUAUGGAGUCUUCCGCGAUGGGCGAAAGUCUGACGGAGCAACGCCGCGUGAGUGAUGAAGGUCUUCGGAUCGUAAACCUCUUUUAUUAGGUAAGCGGUACCUAAUCAGAGAGCCACGGCUAACUACGUGCCAGCAGCCGCGGUAAUUC
Molecule: ribosomal RNA, 405 nt
Filed under: uncultured bacterium
Lineage: Bacteria
Description: partial 16S ribosomal RNA
Rfam family: Bacterial small subunit ribosomal RNA
Source: RNAcentral